GGGAAGGUGGCUCAGUGGUAGAGCACUUGCCUCGCAUGCAUGAGGCCUUAGGUUCUAUACCUCAGUACCA
Molecule: non-coding RNA, 70 nt
Organism: Dipodomys ordii (Ord's kangaroo rat)
Lineage: Eukaryota; Metazoa; Chordata; Mammalia; Rodentia; Heteromyidae
Source: Rfam